Long non-coding RNA from Notolabrus celidotus (New Zealand spotty), 586 nucleotides. RefSeq lists it as uncharacterized. The record is from RefSeq and is a predicted model, not a curated record. The transcript has 4 exons. Lineage: Eukaryota; Metazoa; Chordata; Actinopteri; Labriformes; Labridae.
GUUUUUUUUCCCUCUGCAUUACUUUCACGUACUGCUCAGAUGUGGCACAUUUCUGCAGAGGUUGUGAGGGAACAUCUUCAACAUGCAGAUCAGAGACUUGGUGAAGUGACAGCCAGUUCAGGGCGUGUCCAGAGGGGUGGCAAGGCCCACCAUGAAAUCUUAUCGGCCACCCCAUGUGGUAACGAGACAGGCAUGCAGCUCCAUCUGCUGCACAAAGGCCUCAAUGUGUACGAAGCUGGCCCACCUGAAAUCCUCAACUAAAAUCAUCAGUGGAUCAUAACUCUUCCUUAAAAGGAUAAGAUGAAGUCAGCACACCAGAAGCUGAUCCAAUGGGAAAUUUAAUGAAAAAUAUCACCACAAGUAACGUUUUGGGCUGUUCGAAUGGUGUUCCUGUUGUUAGUCUGUGUUGCUGGUCAGGCCCUGUGUGUCGCCUACAUGUCUGAGGACUGAGGCCAUGACAGUGUAGACACUUCACUUGUGACACACCAGUUGUGACAGAGAGAGGCCUGCUGCAGGGCCAAAGAGACAGCAGGAUGGAUUCUGCUUUUAUUUGUGUUUACAAAAGAGGGGUGGGGUGGUCCUUGAA